RNAcentral lists this ribosomal RNA (800 nucleotides) under uncultured bacterium. RNAcentral's name for it is "bacterial SSU rRNA". It matches the Rfam family "Bacterial small subunit ribosomal RNA", at positions 33 to 834 of the family's 1533-position model. The record is from RNAcentral.
ACAUGGGCGGCUUGCUUACCAUGCAAGUCGAGCGAAGCGUAUUUGCGGAAGUUUUCGGAUGGAAGCGGAUGCGACUUAGCGGCGGACGGGUGAGUAACGCGUGGGUAACCUGCCUCAUACAGGGGGAUAACAGUUAGAAAUGACUGCUAAUACCGCAUAAGCGCACAGGACCGCAUGGUCUGGUGUGAAAAACUCCGGUGGUAUGAGAUGGACCCGCGUCUGAUUAGCUAGUUGGCGGGGUAACGGCCCACCAAGGCGACGAUCAGUAGCCGACCUGAGAGGGUGGCCGGCCACAUUGGGACUGAGACACGGCCCAAACUCCUACGGGAGGCAGCAGUGGGGAAUAUUGCACAAUGGGGGAAACCCUGAUGCAGCAACGCCGCGUGAGUGAAGAAGUAUUUCGGUAUGUAAAGCUCUAUCAGCAGGGAAGAAGAAAGACGGUACCUGACUAAGAAGCCCCGGCUAACUACGUGCCAGCAGCCGCGGUAAUACGUAGGGGGCAAGCGUUAUCCGGAUUUACUGGGUGUAAAGGGAGCGUAGACGGCAUAGCAAGUCUGAAGUGAAAGCCCGUGGCUCAACCGCGGAACUGCUUUGGAAACUGUUAAGCUGGAGUACUGGAGAGGCAAGCGGAAUUCCUAGUGUAGCGGUGAAAUGCGUAGAUAUUAGGAGGAACACCAGUGGCGAAGGCGGCUUGCUGGACAGAGACUGACGUUGAGGCUCGAAAGCGUGGGGAGCAAACAGGAUUAGAUACCCUGGUAGUCCACGCGGUAAACGAUGAAUGCUANGUGUUGGCGGGCAAA